GAAGUGGAAGUCCCGAAAGGCUAUCUGGCGGUGUACGUCGGAGAGAACCAACCUUCAUUUCAAGAAUUACUGAGCCAAGCUGAAGAGGAAUUCGGAUAUUGUCAUCCAAUGGGUGGCCUCACAAUUCCCUGCAAGGAAGAUGUGUUCUUAGAGACAGCUUCUAGCUUGAACAAACUAUAAUUCUAAUUCCAAUAGAUCCUAACAUAGACUAGUUGAGACAAUUUUUGUAUAGCACAAUUUUCUUUUCUCCAUUUUGUUGUUUCCUCUGAAAUUGAAAAGGUCAUUAAUGAGAAUAUUGCAAAAUCAUGUGAAUUAUAUGUUAUUUUUCCUCAAUCUACAUGAACUCGUAUACAAUUCACGAGCACACACCCGUUGCUAUAUGGAGGGACAUUAUGUAUCACUUAGUUAUAGGGAUGCAUGCCAGUAAUUCUUAAUCAGAAAACUACCACAUUAAAUAAUAGGGUUAAGGUUUACUUCUAUUUAAAAUAAAUUAAAUAUGCAUAAAAAUUGAGACCGUAAUCUUCAACAAUUACCUGCCUAAUUUCCUUUACACCGAUGACUUUCUUCUUGUGCUUUUAUUUCUAUCUAUAACCCAACCCAAUUGAGAAAUGUUGAGAAUCGCACAUUGGACAGUGAUAUGGUGUGAGGAGUGGCUAUAAGUGGUCAAUGUCCCUCACCUUACACGUUAGUUUGGUGGGGAUGAGUUACAUGUCCAACAUAAUUCAAUUUUUACACAAAUGUCACGUUACUAAUAAUCUAUCAUCCAUCAAGAAACUCCAUGGCCACCUACUCACACAAGGCACUCUCUUCAUUCUCCAUGAUAUUCACACCCAACUCAUUGCUACUUACACCUCAUGCCUUCCCAACAACAACCUUCAAACAUUAGUCAACACUUUCUUCAAAUGCAUGAAUUCCACCAACCCAUUACACUUCAAUCUCAUCAUUUCUCAUUUUUGUCACAAAGGUUUCCCCUUUCUUGCUCUCGCAUCCUUUUCCUUUAUGCACACCAACGCUAUUCCUUUAGAUACAUACGCUUUGUGUAGCACUUUGACCGCUUCGUCGAAACUCAAAGACUUUCAUUUUGGGAAGCAGAUACAUGCCCAUGUUGGAAAAUCAGGUUGGUCUUCUAGUGUGUUUGUGGGUAGUGCUUUGAUUGAUUUUUACUCUAAAUUGUUGAAUGUGGGAGAUGCAGCUCAGGUGUUUGAUGAAAUUCCUCACAAGAAUACUGUUUGUGUUAAUGCACUUAUGAGUGGUUAUGGUGAGGCUGGAUUAUGGUUUAAGGUACUUGAACUAGUUAGGAUGAUGCCUGUGUUGAAAUUGAAGUAUGAUCAAUUUACAUUAUCAGCGGCUUUACGGGCGUGCACUGGAUUAUCUUCUGUUGAAAUUGGUAGACAACUGCAUAGCUAUUUGCUCCAUACUAUACAUGAUAUAGAGAGUGAUGUGUUUCUGCAGAGCGCAUUGAUUGAGAUGUAUGGAAAGUGUGGAAUGGUAGAGAAGGCUUGGCUUGUUUUCAAGUUGGCUGGAAUGGAGAUCAGAAAAGAAAGGAAUAGAGACGUUGUGUUAUGGACUUCAAUGCUUGGUGUGUAUGGUAAAAAUGGACAUUAUAAGGAAGUAAUUGAUUUGUUCAGUGAAAUGUUGGAGGAAGGAAUAAGACCUGAUGGAAUAGCAUUUCUGACAGUAAUAUCAGCUUGCGGUCACACUGGCCAAGUGCAUGUUGGUGUCAAGUAUUUUGAAUCUAUGACUGAUGAUUUCAAGUUGGAUCCUGGUCCAGAGCAUUAUAGCUGCCUGGUUGAUCUGCUUUGUAGGGCUGGAGAAUUAAACAAGGCAUGGGAAUUACUUAAUGAGACGCUCUAUAAUAAGGGAAUAGGGAAUUGUAGCGUCUCUAUGUGGGGAACUCUACUCAAUGCUUGUGUAGACAGUGGGAAUAUAGAGCUGGGAAAAUGGGCAGCUCAGAGGGCUCUUGAGUUAGAUCCUCAAAAUGCUGGAAUUUGUGUUAUGUUAUCGAAUCUGUAUGCCCGUUUUGGUAUGUGGGAUGAGAUUGGACGUUUGAGGGUAUUGAUCCAAGAAAGAGGGUUAAGAAAAGAUGUUGGAUGCAGUUGGGUUCAAGUGACAAGUUGAAUGGAUUAGGAAAUGGUUUGAAGUGAUGCUGUUACCUUUAAAAUCUUGCUGGUGGGUCUCUACUCUCCUAAACACGCUUACUAUAACAAGUCAGGAAAAUUGGGAAUGCUCAACUAGCAUGGGGUUAAAAAAUGAGACAUUUGUUUAGAUUUUAGAGUGGAUUAUGAACUGAAGAACAGUCUAGCAUAUAUUUCCUUGGAGAAAUGCUAAAUAGUACAAAAUUACAAGCAAUAAUUUUAGUAUGAAAAGUAUGUAAAUAGCUUUUUAUCCACUUCUCUCAUGUGUUGUUAUGGGGAUAUGGAUUGGUACUCGUCAUUUGAUUGAUUAAAAAGGUCAAUACUUCAUACAAAAUUGCAGUUUUAUUUUCUUAGUUUUAAUAGUUAAGUAGACCAAAAUAAUCUGAUUUGUUAUGGUCAUUUAGUAGAAAAAUUGUAAAUUUUAUUGUGUACUUGUUAUAAGCACCUCGUGUGCUUGGAAUGAACAUUUAAUACAUUCAUUUUUGGCUUGUUAAAAAACAAAGUAGACCAAGAUUAAAUCAACGGCUAUUUCAAAUGCAAAUUCUAUACUUAUGUUACUUACUUGAGCCUACCAAAAUCCCUUGAGUUCUAUCUCCUUGUAUGAGAAUGAUUUGUUUUAUCAGUGGUUUCUUCAGUGUAUACGGCAAUGUUUCAUAUAUCAGACAACUAGUGAAACUUUGAUAUAGCUCUGCAUCAGUUUUAACAUAAUUUAUGUAGAGGUAUGUUUUUCCUAAGCAUAGAAUUAAGCCUCAUUUGCAAUUAUGUUUGCUAUAAAACAAUCUUGUUGUUUGCGUUUGCAUCACUUUCACUAUUUAAGAUAAAUGUCUUUCGUAUAGAUCUCAGGAUGUUUUCAAUGUGCAUUGAAGUUACUUAAUGAAUAAUGCAACUCUAGCAUCUAUGGAUAUACUUAUGUAUUCCCUAAUUGACUUGUUUACACCUACUUUAAUGCAUUUAAUCUCGUUAUACAUUUCUCUAGAUAAAAUAUUUACCAUCCUAAUCUUCACAAUUGCAUUUGCAUGCUUUCUCCUGAUAAUAAAAAAUCCAUUGUUUAUUGCAGUUCAACCUUGUAAGUUGUAUGUGGUGGGAAACCUCUUAACUGAGGUAUCUGUUGAUCCCAUGACUGGUCUUAUUCGUUGAAUAAGAGAAGUUGCUUAGAAUGAUAUUGAUGUCCCCUUUGUUAUUUAUGGAAAAUCUCUCUACAAGUGAAGUAAUGUAUAAUAUUCAUAUAGAAGAGAACUCACGAUUCCACUGUAUGGCAGAUGUUAUAAUGUGCUAAAUAUGUGCGGGUAACUUUUGAUUAUUCAUUCACAAAUUGUGUAUUAUGAUAUGUACGUUAAAAAGUGUAUUGUAUUUGAUCUGCUAUAUACUGAAAAAGUACAAUAUUUUUUUUGUUCACAGGAUAUACAGCAAGUCAAGGUUGUUUAUAAUCAGGAGUUGAGAACACCAGUCUCCAUAGGAUACAACAAUGCAAGUCAAAAAUAUCUCAGGUGCUGUUGAUUUUGGUCAUUUAUGCUACUGUUAAUUACUUGUGAUGUGAAAAAUCUAUAGCAUUUACAAUCAAGUGAAUGAAUUAACUUAAUUGAGCAUAUGCAAUUAUGAAUUCAUGAUGUUAAAAUUUUCUAUGAACUAAACGUAAUAAGUCUUCAAGAUUUUUGACUCUGCAUUAUCAUCAUUUAUGAAUGCUGAUCAAUAAGUGAAAAGGAAAAAGGAAGAGUGGUUAUAUUAUAUGGAAUCUUAUCCUACUUGUCUAAAAUUAAUUUUGGCAUACAUUGAACUAUGUUGUGCAUUGGUUAUGGAGAUUUGGUGAAAACAUGUUUUCAAAACAGUCUAGAUAAAAUACUAGGUUUAGACCAGUUUCCAUACCAAAAGCAGUUUUAAAAGUCGGUUUAUAAAAAAUUGCAAGACAUUUUCAUCUAAGCUUAUGCACUAAUAUUUCAAAUAGAUCCUAUCAACAUAUGUGAGUUCUAAAUAAAUUUCAAUAAAUAUGAGAAAGUAGGGUGAAAAGUAAUAUAGAGUCAUAGAUAUCUAUUAUCUCUAAGAUCAAUCAAUAUUAAUGAUGAUAGGAGUAUCUUGAAUUGGUCCCAUAUCCAUUGAUGAGGCACUUAAGUGAGUAGUUGAAAGUAGAAUUGUGCAACAUUCCUCACUGGCUUUCAGUGACUCACUUCCCCACCAACACUCUUUUUCUUUGUCCUUUUUUCUCAAAUAAGUAUAAAGAAAAAUACAUAAAGUACUUACCAAAAUUUUGCCAACAAUAUUUGCGUGGUGUAUCAUGCACCGAAUUAGGUGAUAUCCCACUCCCACAUUGUAGAGGGUGUUAUCAUCCCUUCGAUAUAUAUAUAUAGGACCAAGCCACAAAAGUUGAGGUAAUUAUUUUUGGGAAAUGAAUAUAAUUCAGGACAAUGGAGUAUUAUACUAUUAACUAUUUUUCAAUCAAUCAAGGCUAACAACAAAAAGGCGUUGUUCCACAAUUUGGGAGGAUAUUGGCUUCAAUGUGAAGUUUGUUUGGGAUUAAUGAGUGAAAAGGAGGGGAGGGAAUAUGAGAAAUAAAUAAAACAAUUAAUAUGUCUUUAUUUGCAUUAACAAAAACUUAGUCUAGUUAACCAAAUAAUUGGACUCAAGUUUUGAAUCUUGACUCUAAUAGUUAUUAGUCAAACUAUGAACUCUAAAUUACUAGAAUCUAUUUUUUCUUAGAAUCGUAUAGUUAAAAAAAUAAAUAAAAAACCUAGCCUAAAGUUUUUAAGUGGUGGGAGAGAUAUGAUAUCAUAGGACUCUUGAUUUACCUUACAAUGUUGUACUGAUGAGAGGAUUUGGGGGGGAGAGAGUAACAUGGCUUUCAUGUGCCAAAUGAAAGGUAAAGUCACCAUCAACUUUAAAGAUUAUCCCUUGGGUACUUGAGUUGCUCUUCUUAAAGAAAAACUGAAAAAUUGUAGGCCUUUUCCAUCUCUUUCAUUUCAAAUCCAUUUCUUUUUCCAAUUAAUUUCAUUCGCAGAACAUGAAUAGUAGUCUAUGCAAGGAAUGUGACAUCCACUCAACUGGUUCUCCAUGUAUAAAUUGAGAAAUAUUACAUGAACACGACUAUACCUCGACGAAUGAUAACUACUAGUUAUGUAUAAUCCUUACUCUACAUGUGAAUUUUAA
RNAcentral lists this long non-coding RNA (5273 nucleotides) under Cicer arietinum (chickpea). RNAcentral's name for it is "long non-coding RNA (CARI_LNC001541)". Lineage: Eukaryota; Viridiplantae; Streptophyta; Magnoliopsida; Fabales; Fabaceae. The record is from RNAcentral.